GAAAUGCGAUAACUAGUGUGAAUUGCAGAAUUCCGUGAAUCAUCGAGUCUUUGAACGCACAUUGCGCCCCCUGGUAUUCCGGGGGGCAUGCCUGUCCGAGCGUCAUUGCUGCCCAUCAAGCACGGCUUGUGUGUUGGGUCGUCGUCCCCUCUCCGGGGGGGACGGGCCCCAAAGGCAGCGGCGGCACCGCGUCCGAUCCUCGAGCGUAUGGGGCUUUGUCACCCGCUCUGUAGGCCCGGCCGGCGCUUGCCGAACGCAAAUCAAUCUUUUUCCAGGUUGACCUCGGAUCAGGUAGGAAUACCCGCUGAACUUAAGC
This 316-nucleotide unclassified non-coding RNA is filed under the name plant metagenome. RNAcentral's name for it is "partial contains 5.8S ribosomal RNA, internal transcribed spacer 2, and large subunit ribosomal RNA". The stretch from base 1 to 105 matches the Rfam family "5.8S ribosomal RNA", at positions 50 to 154 of the family's 154-position model. The record is from RNAcentral.